CAGUCGCCACGGGAAUACGGAGGGUGCAAGCGUUAAUCGGAAUUACUGGGCGUAAAGCGCACGCAGGCAGUUUGUUAAGUCAGAUGUGAAAUCCCCGAGCUUAACUUGGGAACUGCAUUUGAAACUGGCAGGCUAGAGUCUUGUAGAGGGGGGUAGAAUUCCAGGUGUAGCGGUGAAAUGCGUAGAGAUCUGGAGGAAUACCGGUGGCGAAGGCGGCCCCCUGGACAAAGACUGACGCUCAGGUGCGAAAGCGUGGGGAGCAAACAGGAUUAGAUACCCCUGUAGUCCCUGUCUCUUAUAU
Molecule: ribosomal RNA, 301 nt
Filed under: uncultured bacterium
Lineage: Bacteria
Description: partial 16S ribosomal RNA
Rfam family: Bacterial small subunit ribosomal RNA
Source: RNAcentral